This 1257-nucleotide long non-coding RNA is filed under the name Anser cygnoides (Swan goose). Its description in RNAcentral is "lncRNA (ENSACDG00005002517.1)". Lineage: Eukaryota; Metazoa; Chordata; Aves; Anseriformes; Anatidae. The record is from RNAcentral.
GAGCACAGAAAGGAGAGUCUAAGAUUAGAAUGGUUCUAUCCCUCCUCCCUCCUGCUAUCACUUUUAUUUUUCCAACACAGGACAUGCCAUCAAAAGAAGAAUGCAUUUCGCAUCUUGAAUUCCAUAAGUCGCCAGCUGGCAGAGACACUGGAAAUUCAAAGACUGUUCUUCAUACUUGUGGUAAGAUGAAUUCUGGAACUAAUGUUUCCUGUUGUGCUGCUUCUGAACACGACUGUAAGUCUGGAGGUGAAAGCUGACAAUGUCAUCUGGUGUGUUUCCCAACAGACAAAGGGUACCUCUGCUUGCCAAAGCCUAUUUGAAAAGAAUAGGCUUGCUAAAUCUAAGCACAGGAGAGGACCUCUCUCUUUGCCAGCAUGAAAGGUCAGAUGAAAUCCUCAUCUCUGCUUACCAGCAGGGGCCUCUCCUGCCUGGCCCUUCGUUCAUCUGUGUAGCUUGAGAUGCUUCUCAUUCUUGGUUUGCUUUAAAAAUAUUUUAUAGCACUUGAAAUUAAUUUCAUUUGAGAAGUUUAAGCUUCACAUUUUUUAGAGUUAUAUAAAGAAGAUCCCUGAAAAGCUUUCAAAGCCCGCAUUUAGUGUUUGUCCUUCCUGGCAGACACUGUCUGCUAGUACUUCUGCCUUGCCAAGACUGUCUCCCAUUUCCUCUCUUUCCUAAUGCUUUGGUAAACAUGGAUAAACAGUAGACUCAUAUAGGACAAUUCUCUGAGGGUACUAAACUCUUGCCAGUAGCACAGCAUGUCUUCAUCAGAACUAUUACACUUCUGAAUAGCAAAUGCCAAUACUUCCCUAUCCAGAGAAACAAUGACAACAGGAACUGAAAAGCAGAGUUUUGCCCAUGUUUGUUAAAUCAUUCACUCACCUUUUCUGAAAUAUUUAAAUGAGUUGAUGGCCAACCAUAAAUUGUUGCAAUAUUACGGAAUUAGGAAAAAAAAAAAAAGUGUCUGCAUGGGUAGAAAAAAAAAAAUACAAACUUUAAUUGCUAUCAAUAGAAUUAUAUUUAAUUGAAAAUCUGUGUAGACAUCUUCUUGACCUGAAGACUUUUGCCUCCAGUCCCUAUUAUUUGGAAAUGUUUUGUUCUUCAAGCUUUUUAUAGUCUUCCUUUCCUGAGGGUUUUGAUUAAUGCCUUUUUGAAAGGUAUUUCUGCAAUGAUUCAGUCACAUCACAGCAUUGACAUCUUGAACAAGAUGUCUCAGACAUCUCUAACCUACUGAUGCCUCUAGGGUCGCAUGGACUAGUCUUA